CGCCCAGACUCCUACGGGAGGCAGCAGUGGGGGAUAUUGCACAAUGGGGGGAACCCUGAUGCAGCGACGCCGCGUGAGUGAAGAAGUAUUUCGGUAUGUAAAGCUCUAUCAGCAGGGAAGAAAGAGACGAAAGUCUUGUGACAGUACCUGACUAAGAAGCCCCGGCUAACUACGUGCCAGCAGCCGCGGUAAUACGUAGGGAGCAAGCGUUAUCCGGAUUUACUGGGUGUAAAGGGCGCGUAGGCGGGAUGGCAAGUCAGAUGUGAAAUCCAAGGGCUCAACCCUUGAACUGCAUUUGAAACUGUCGUUCUUGAGUACUGGAGAGGUUGACGGAAUUCCUAGUGUAGCGGUGAAAUGCGUAGAUAUUAGGAGGAACACCAGUGGCGAAGGCGGUCAACUGGACAGCAACUGACGCUGAGGCGCGAAAGCGUGGGGAGCAAACAGGAUUAGAUACCCUA
RNAcentral lists this ribosomal RNA (458 nucleotides) under uncultured bacterium. Its description in RNAcentral is "partial 16S ribosomal RNA". It matches the Rfam family "Bacterial small subunit ribosomal RNA", at positions 328 to 789 of the family's 1533-position model. The record is from RNAcentral.